RNAcentral lists this ribosomal RNA (253 nucleotides) under uncultured bacterium. RNAcentral describes it as "partial 16S ribosomal RNA". It matches the Rfam family "Bacterial small subunit ribosomal RNA", at positions 524 to 776 of the family's 1533-position model. The record is from RNAcentral.
UACGUAGGAGGCAAGCGUUGUCCGGAAUUAUUGGGCGUAAAGCGCGCGCAGGCGGUUUCUUAAGUCUGAUGUGAAAGCCCACGGCUCAACCGUGGAGGGUCAUUGGAAACUGGGAAACUUGAGUGCAGAAGAGAAGAGCGGAAUUCCACGUGUAGCGGUGAAAUGCGUAGAGAUGUGGAGGAACACCAGUGGCGAAGGCGGCUCUUUGGAACGGUACUGACGCUGUGGCGCGAAAGCGUGGGGAGCGAACAGG